UUGAAGAGUUUGAUCAUGGCUCAGAUUGAACGCUGGCGGCAGGCCUAACACAUGCAAGUCGAGCGGUAGCACAGAGAGCUUGCUCUCGGGUGACGAGCGGCGGACGGGUGAGUAAUGUCUGGGAAACUGCCUGAUGGAGGGGGAUAACUACUGGAAACGGUAGCUAAUACCGCAUAACGUCGCAAGACCAAAGAGGGGGACCUUCGGGCCUCUUGCCAUCAGAUGUGCCCAGAUGGGAUUAGCUAGUAGGUGGGGUAAUGGCUCACCUAGGCGACGAUCCCUAGCUGGUCUGAGAGGAUGACCAGCCACACUGGAACUGAGACACGGUCCAGACUCCUACGGGAGGCAGCAGUGGGGAAUAUUGCACAAUGGGCGCAAGCCUGAUGCAGCCAUGCCGCGUGUAUGAAGAAGGCCUUCGGGUUGUAAAGUACUUUCAGCGGGGAGGAAGGCGAUAAGGUUAAUAACCUUGUCGAUUGACGUUACCCGCAGAAGAAGCACCGGCUAACUCCGUGCCAGCAGCCGCGGUAAUACGGAGGGUGCAAGCGUUAAUCGGAAUUACUGGGCGUAAAGCGCACGCAGGCGGUCUGUCAAGUCGGAUGUGAAAUCCCCGGGCUCAACCUGGGAACUGCAUUCGAAACUGGCAGGCUAGAGUCUUGUAGAGGGGUAGAAUUCCAGGUGUAGCGGUGAAAUGCGUAGAGAUCUGGAGGAAUACCGGUGGCGAAGGCGGCCCCCUGGACAAAGACUGACGCUCAGGUGCGAAAGCGUGGGGAGCAAACAGGAUUAGAUACCCUGGUAGUCCACGCCGUAAACGAUGUCGACUUGGAGGUUGUGCCCUUGAGGCGUGGCUUCCGGAGCUAACGCGUUAAGUCGACCGCCUGGGGAGUACGGCCGCAAGGUUAAAACUCAAAUGAAUUGACGGGGGCCCGCACAAGCGGUGGAGCAUGUGGUUUAAUUCGAUGCAACGCGAAGAACCUUACCUACUCUUGACAUCCAGAGAACUUUCCAGAGAUGGAUUGGUGCCUUCGGGAACUCUGAGACAGGUGCUGCAUGGCUGUCGUCAGCUCGUGUUGUGAAAUGUUGGGUUAAGUCCCGCAACGAGCGCAACCCUUAUCCUUUGUUGCCAGCGGUCCGGCCGGGAACUCAAAGGAGACUGCCAGUGAUAAACUGGAGGAAGGUGGGGAUGACGUCAAGUCAUCAUGGCCCUUACGAGUAGGGCUACACACGUGCUACAAUGGCGCAUACAAAGAGAAGCGACCUCGCGAGAGCAAGCGGACCUCAUAAAGUGCGUCGUAGUCCGGAUUGGAGUCUGCAACUCGACUCCAUGAAGUCGGAAUCGCUAGUAAUCGUAGAUCAGAAUGCUACGGUGAAUACGUUCCCGGGCCUUGUACACACCGCCCGUCACACCAUGGGAGUGGGUUGCAAAAGAAGUAGGUAGCUUAACCUUCGGGAGGGCGCUUACCACUUUGUGAUUCAUGACUGGGGUGAAGUCGUAACAAGGUAACCGUAGGGGAACCUGCGGUUGGAUCACCUCCUU
RNAcentral lists this ribosomal RNA (1534 nucleotides) under Enterobacter asburiae. Its description in RNAcentral is "bacterial SSU rRNA". It matches the Rfam family "Bacterial small subunit ribosomal RNA". The record is from RNAcentral. Lineage: Bacteria; Pseudomonadati; Pseudomonadota; Gammaproteobacteria; Enterobacterales; Enterobacteriaceae.